UCCCUUAUCAUCCAGAAGUUAGGAUUCGGCGCUUUCACUGCCGUGGCCUGGGUUCAAACCCUGAUUGGGGAC
Molecule: transfer RNA, 72 nt
Filed under: Bos taurus (domestic cattle)
Lineage: Eukaryota; Metazoa; Chordata; Mammalia; Artiodactyla; Bovidae
Also listed under: 1 other name
Rfam family: tRNA
About the family: Transfer RNA (tRNA) molecules are approximately 80 nucleotides in length. Their secondary structure includes four short double-helical elements and three loops (D, anti-codon, and T loops). Further hydrogen bonds mediate the characteristic L-shaped molecular structure. tRNAs have two regions of fundamental functional importance: the anti-codon, which is responsible for specific mRNA codon recognition, and the 3' end, to which the tRNAs corresponding amino acid is attached (by aminoacyl-tRNA synthetases). tRNAs cope with the degeneracy of the genetic code in two manners: having more than one tRNA (with a specific anti-codon) for a particular amino acid; and 'wobble' base-pairing, i.e. permitting non-standard base-pairing at the 3rd anti-codon position.
Source: Rfam by way of RNAcentral